Small nuclear RNA from Myodes glareolus (Bank vole), 164 nucleotides. RefSeq annotates it as U1 spliceosomal RNA. NCBI's taxonomy places the organism in Eukaryota, Metazoa, Chordata, Mammalia, Rodentia, Cricetidae. The record is from RefSeq and is a predicted model, not a curated record.
AUAGUUAACCUGGCAGAAGAGAUACCACGAUCACAAGGGUGGUUUGCCCAGGGCGAGGCUUAUCCAUUGCACUCAGGAUAUGCUGCCACCUGUGACUUCCGCAAAUGCAGAAAGCCAUCUGCAUAAUUUGUGGUAGUGGGGGACUGGGUUUGCGCUCUCUCCUA